This 332-nucleotide unclassified non-coding RNA is filed under the name soil metagenome. RNAcentral's name for it is "partial contains 5.8S ribosomal RNA, internal transcribed spacer 2, and large subunit ribosomal RNA". The stretch from base 1 to 120 matches the Rfam family "5.8S ribosomal RNA", at positions 35 to 154 of the family's 154-position model. The record is from RNAcentral.
GAUGAAGAACGCAGCGAAAUGCGAUAAGUAGUGUGAAUUGCAGAAUUCAGUGAAUCAUCGAAUCUUUGAACGCACAUUGCGCCCUUUGGUAUUCCUUAGGGCAUGCCUGUUCGAGCGUCAUUUAAACCUUCAAGCUCAGCUUGGUGUUGGGUGACUGUCCGCUUCACCGCGGACUCGCCUCAAAAUUAUUGGCGGCCGGUACAUUGGCUUCGAGCGCAGCAGAAACGCGAACUCGGGCCCGUCGUAUUGGCUCCCAGAAGCUAUCUUCACCAUUUUGACCUCGGAUCAGGUAGGGAUACCCGCUGAACUUAAGCAUAUCAAUAAGCGGAGGA